UACGUAGGGUGCAAGCGUUAAUCGGACUUACUGGGCGUAAAGCGUGCGCCGGCGGUAAUGUAAGACAGUUGUGAAAUCCCCGGGCUCAACCUGGGAACUGCAUCUGGGACUGCAUUGCUGGAGUACGGCAGAGGGGGAUGGAAUUCCGCGUGUAGCAGUGAAAUGCGUAGAUAUGCGGAGGAACACCGAUGGCGAAGGCAAUCCCCUGGGCCUGUACUGACGCUCAUGCACGAAAGCGUGGGGAGCAAACAGG
Molecule: ribosomal RNA, 253 nt
Filed under: uncultured bacterium
Lineage: Bacteria
Description: partial 16S ribosomal RNA
Rfam family: Bacterial small subunit ribosomal RNA
Source: RNAcentral